UGUCUAUGGCCAUACCACCCUGAACGCGCCCGAUCUUGUCUGAUGUCGGAAGCCAAGCAGGGUGGGGCCCGGUUAGUACUUGGAUGGGAGAACCCAUUCCCAAAUCUAUUAUCAUGAUGA
Molecule: ribosomal RNA, 120 nt
Filed under: Prolemur simus (greater bamboo lemur)
Lineage: Eukaryota; Metazoa; Chordata; Mammalia; Primates; Lemuridae
Source: RNAcentral